UACGGAAGGCAGCAGUGGGGAAUAUUGGACAAUGGGCGAAAGCCUGAUCCAGCCAUGCCGCAUGAGUGAAGAAGGCCUUCGGGUUGUAAAGCUCUUUUAGUGAGAAAGAUAAUGACGGUACUCACAGAAGAAGUCCUGGCUAACUCCGUGCCAGCAGCCGCGGUAAUACGGAGAGGGCUAGCGUUAUUCGGAAUUAUUGGGCGUAAAGAGCGCGUAGGCUGAUUAGUAAGUUAAAAGUGAAAUCCCAAAGCUUAACUUUGGAAUUGCUUUUUAAAACUGCUAGUCUAGAGAUUGAAAGAGGAUAGAGGAAUUCCUAGUGUAGAGGUGAAAUUCGUAAAUAUUAGGAGGAACACCAGUGGCGAAGGCGUCUAUCUGGUUCAAAUCUGACGCUGAGGCGCGAAGGGCGUGGGGAGCAAACAGGGAUUAGGAUACCCGU
RNAcentral lists this ribosomal RNA (436 nucleotides) under uncultured bacterium. Its description in RNAcentral is "bacterial SSU rRNA". It matches the Rfam family "Bacterial small subunit ribosomal RNA", at positions 340 to 790 of the family's 1533-position model. The record is from RNAcentral.